Long non-coding RNA from Candoia aspera, 353 nucleotides. RefSeq lists it as uncharacterized. NCBI's taxonomy places the organism in Eukaryota, Metazoa, Chordata, Lepidosauria, Squamata, Candoiidae. The transcript is spliced from 3 exons. The record is from RefSeq and is a predicted model, not a curated record.
GGUUCCUUGGAAGGUAGAUUACAAGUAGCUAUCAAUUAACAAUUGUAAGAUAUUAAAAAACUCAUUGUGUUGGUUAAGUCCUUCUGAGAUAGCUGGAAACCUCUCAAGAUGUGAGUAGCCCCAUCUCUUCUAGACCCCACCCAAUGUUUGCCAUUGCGCACCUGAUCAACCUGCAGCCGGGCAGAAGGGAAAUAGCAGCGUAGAGCAAAAUUUAUGGGAAAGGGAGACACAAAUGAUCUUCUAUCUCAAGAAAGCUGAGAACAGAACACAUCACAAAGUCAUCUUCUGAAAAAAGAAAUCCUGGAUUUGCUUGUCUGUACUGAGACAAAUAUGUAAGAAUUCUGCUGCCAGCA